GACGAACGCUGGCGGCGUGCUUAACACAUGCAAGUCGAGCGGUAAGGCCCUUUCGGGGGUACACGAGCGGCGAACGGGUGAGUAACACGUGGGUGACCUGCCCUCAGCUCUGGGAUAAGCCUGGGAAACCGGGUCUAAUACUGGAUAUGACUCCAUGACGCAUGUUGUGGGGUGGAAAGCCUUGUGCGGCUGAGGAUGGGCCCGCGGCCUAUCAGCUUGUUGGUGGGGUGAGGCCUACCAAGGCGACGACGGGGUAGCCGGCCUGAGAGGGCGACCGGCCACACUGGGACUGAGACACGGCCCAGACUCCUACGGGAGGCAGCAGUGGGGAACCUUGCGCAAUGGGCGAAAGCCUGACGCAGCGACGCCGCGUGAGGGAUGACGGCCUGGU
Molecule: ribosomal RNA, 391 nt
Filed under: uncultured bacterium
Lineage: Bacteria
Description: bacterial SSU rRNA
Rfam family: Bacterial small subunit ribosomal RNA
Source: RNAcentral